UAACAUUGCCUUGAGUGAUCAAGCAGGGGCAGUAUUAAUGUCCACAGCAGUGGCACAUGGCUGUAACAUAGCACAACACAAUAGCAUUGAUUUAAGAUGAGAUGAUAAAUAUUGUUCAUUGGUCAGAGGUACUAACCAAUAUGUAAGCUUCCUCCAGGAAGUACUGGAGAAGGACUACAGUUAAGCACGUAGUCUAUCGACCCAUAGCCCUACAUCUUGCUCGGUCUUAAUUAAUAAAUUGUUUUUGUGCCUUCUAGGACUAGUUACUAUUCAUAUGGAGUUGGUCUCUGCACCCGAUCCAAGUACUCCAAGUUCCCGAAUUCCAAGUUCUCCAAACACAACAUUCCGUGCAGUAGGCAGAGAAUUUCCGCUGACGCAACCGCAGACGAGGUGCAUUCAGUUUGACCAAUCAGAAUCAAGGUUUUCAAAUAACUGCCCAAUUACGCUGCUAUACACUGUCAACAUGAAAAGAAUCGAAGUUUGACUUAAAAUCGUGUUGUUCACCACGUUUGCUUUAUUUUAUUUUACCGACUCAAACUUGGCGAAGGUGGACGGCACAGACCUGAUACGAAGACAAGCACAGAAGGUCCGAUACGAAGGCCUGAGCAAUGAAGAGAGCUGUGUGGAGCUGAGUCUGCCCAGCCGAGGCAGACGUGGGCAGACGAGAAUACGGCCAGCAAAAAUACUUUGUUUUAGUGCCCAACAGGCCGUCUGGGGACUUUGAACUGCAAAACAUCCCACCAGGAUAAACGGUGUUAAAACUCCUCUCAACAUCCUGACAUCCUGGGUACCCUGGGUAUGGACAGCCAAAGAGAGGUUCAUUGGGCCCCGUGAUCGUGUCUGAAUUAAGGUAAGAAUCAUAGAAUGAAUGGCUUGUGUGUUUGGACUGGUGUUGUCCUAUUUAUCAUUGCUGUAUUGUUAAUGAGUUGUGAUGAGUCUGUUUCUGAACUAAGAUAUAGCCGUUCCCCUUUGUUUUAUUGUCACUUGAUAUCGAUACCACUUUAGCCACUUGAUAUUG
Molecule: long non-coding RNA, 1018 nt
Organism: Mugil cephalus (flathead mullet)
Lineage: Eukaryota; Metazoa; Chordata; Actinopteri; Mugiliformes; Mugilidae
Exons: 3
Source: RefSeq, a predicted model, not a curated record